This 540-nucleotide ribosomal RNA is filed under the name Dacrymyces chrysospermus. RNAcentral's name for it is "eukaryotic LSU rRNA". It matches the Rfam family "Eukaryotic large subunit ribosomal RNA", at positions 73 to 659 of the family's 3401-position model. Lineage: Eukaryota; Fungi; Basidiomycota; Dacrymycetes; Dacrymycetales; Dacrymycetaceae. The record is from RNAcentral.
GAUUCCCUAGUACUGCGAGUGAAGCGGGAAAAGCUCAAAUUUAAAAUCCUUCGGGAGUUGUAAUGUAUAGAAGUGUUUUCGGUCGUUGCCUCGGACAAGUCUCUUGGAACAGAGCGUCAUAGAGGGUGAGAAUCCCGUCCUUGCCGAGCUCCCAACGUCUAUGUGAUACACUUUCAAAGAGUCGAGUUGUUUGGGAAUGCAGCUCAAAAUGGGUGGUAAACUCCAUCUAAAGCUAAAUAUUGGCGAGAGACCGAUAGCGAACAAGUACCGUGAGGGAAAGAUGAAAAGCACUUUGGAAAGAGAGUUAAACAGUACGUGAAAUUGUUGAAAGGGAAGCGCUUGAAGUCAGUCGCGUUGCAAGGACUCAGCCUCACGGUGUAUUUCUUUGCAACGGGUCAACAUCAGUUUUGACCGCGGGAAAAGGGCUCGAGGAAUGUGGCAACCUCGGUUGUGUUAUAGCCUCCUGUCGUACACCGCGGUCGGGACUGAGGUCUGCUUACAGGAUGUUGACGAAAUGGCUUUAAGCGACCCGUCUUGAAC